AAUCCCAGCGCCGCUCGGGCGCGCCAAUUUAGGGAAAAGGCUCCGCCCAUGCCCCGCCCCCUGAGGCCUGGCGCCGGGCGCUUUGAGGCCCUGCCUACUACCCUGCUGGGCAGGGAAAGGGGCGUCUUCUGUCCUUGUGGUCCGCAUCUAGGCUUUCUAGAGCAUCUUCCAGGGUCAAUCCAGAGACGCCCCCCAGACUACUGAAUCUGAAUCCGUUAGGGUGGUCCAACCUUCCUCUUCAGGUGUCUACUCGAGGCAAGGUUGGAUGUAUGCGGCUGCCCUCAAUACAGCCCCUUCCUUGUUUUUUCUUCAUUUAUGUUUACGUGAAAUAUUAAUCCUUUUCUCCUUGUCCUCCAUCCCUCUCCCUCCCCUACUAUACGGUUAUUGACUUACACUAAUUCAUUCCCGAUUAUCUCCGAGAUGGAAAUAAAUGUCUGUCUCUGUCUCUGUACCGUCGUCGUCUUGGUACAAUUUGGACUGUUUUUUCUCUACACCCCUGAUAUGCAGAGUGUAGUCUCUGAACCAGCAGCCCCAGCAUCCUGAGGGAAUUUGUUAAAAACGCCAAAUUUUAGGCUGUACCCAGACUUUCUGAAUCAGUAUCUGUAUUGCAACAAGAUCCCCCUGGUAAUUCCUAUGCACAUCAAAAUUUGGAAGGCACAGCUCUCAACUGAUGUCCUUGGGUCUCCUUCACAUCCAUCCUGGGAAGGUCUUAUUCCUCAUUCCUGGAGCUCAUCCCACCGAAGAGGUAUGGUACUUCCAGUUCCUGAGCCUUUGCGAGGUUCUGCGUGUCAGUGAGCUUGCUUCCAGGCAUCACUUCUGAAAACACCUGGGUUUCAGUUUUCUCUGUGAGGCUUCUUAAGGAGUGGAGGCAAGUGGAUGCUUUCAAGUACCCACUUCCAACCUCCAGCCUCUGGUAACCAGCAUUCUACUCUCUACUUC
Molecule: non-coding RNA, 939 nt
Organism: Macaca mulatta (Rhesus monkey)
Lineage: Eukaryota; Metazoa; Chordata; Mammalia; Primates; Cercopithecidae
Source: RefSeq, a predicted model, not a curated record